CUAUAAUGCAGUCGAGCGGAGUUGUUCCUUCGGGGACAGCUUAGCGGCGGACGGGUGAGUAACACGUAGGCAACCUGCCUGUAAGACUGGGAUAACUACCGGAAACGGUAGCUAAGACCGGAUACACAACUUGGUCGCAUGGCCGGGUUGGGAAAAGCGGAGCAAUCUGCUGCUUACAGAUGGGCCUGCGGCGCAUUAGCUAGUUGGUGGGGUAACGGCUCACCAAGGCGACGAUGCGUAGCCGACCUGAGAGGGUGAACGGCCACACUGGGACUGAGACACGGCCCAGACUCCUACGGGAGGCAGCAGUAGGGAAUCUUCCGCAAUGGACGCAAGUCUGACGGAGCAACGCCGCGUGAGUGAUGAAGGUUUUCGGAUCGUAAAGCUCUGUUGCCAGGGAAGAACGCUUAGGAGAGUAACUGCUCUUAAGGUGACGGUACCUGAGAAGAAAGCCCCGGCUAACUACGUGCCAGCAGCCGCGGUAAUACGUAGGGGGCAAGCGUUGUCCGGAAUUAUUGGGCGUAAAGCGCGCGCAGGCGGCUUUGUAAGUCUGGUGUUUAAACCUAGGGCUCAACCCUGGGUCGCAUCGGAAACUGCAAGGCUUGAGUGCAGAAGAGGAGAGUGGAAUUCCACGUGUAGCGGUGAAAUGCGUAGAGAUGUGGAGGAACACCAGUGGCGAAGGCGACUCUCUGGGCUGUAAC
This 701-nucleotide ribosomal RNA is filed under the name Paenibacillus susongensis. Its description in RNAcentral is "bacterial SSU rRNA". It matches the Rfam family "Bacterial small subunit ribosomal RNA", at positions 51 to 740 of the family's 1533-position model. The record is from RNAcentral. Lineage: Bacteria; Bacillati; Bacillota; Bacilli; Caryophanales; Paenibacillaceae.